RNAcentral lists this ribosomal RNA (371 nucleotides) under uncultured organism. RNAcentral describes it as "bacterial SSU rRNA". It matches the Rfam family "Bacterial small subunit ribosomal RNA", at positions 526 to 896 of the family's 1533-position model. The record is from RNAcentral.
CGAACCGUCCAAACGUUGUUCGGAAUCACUGGGCUUAAAGGGCGCGUAGGCGGGCUCCCAAGUCGGUGGUGAAAUCUUUCGGCCCAACCGGAAAAGUGCCGCCGAUACUGGGAGCCUCGAGGGAGGUAGGGGUCGAGGGAACUUCCGGUGGAGCGGUGAAAUGCGUAGAUAUCGGAAGGAACGCCGGUGGCGAAAGCGCUCGACUGGACCUCUGCUGACGCUGAGGCGCGAAAGCCAGGGGAGCAAACGGGAUUAGAUACCCCGGUAGUCCUGGCCCUAAACGAUGGGUACCAGAUUGUGGACUGGACAUGGGUUCACAGUCGAGGAAAAAUUGUUAAGUACCCCGCCUGGGGAGUAUGGUCGCAAGGCUG